RNAcentral lists this ribosomal RNA (607 nucleotides) under uncultured bacterium. RNAcentral's name for it is "bacterial SSU rRNA". It matches the Rfam family "Bacterial small subunit ribosomal RNA", at positions 338 to 948 of the family's 1533-position model. The record is from RNAcentral.
CCUACGGGAGGCAGCAGUAGGGAAUAUUGGGCAAUGGAGGCAACUCUGACCCAGCCAUGCCGCGUGCAGGAUGAAGGCGUUAUGCGUUGUAAACUGCUUUUAUAUAGGAAGAAAUAGACCUUGCGAGGUAAGUUGACGGUACUAUAUGAAUAAGCACCGGCUAACUCCGUGCCAGCAGCCGCGGUAAUACGGAGGGUGCAAGCGUUGUCCGGAUUUAUUGGGUUUAAAGGGUGCGUAGGCGGUUUAUUAAGUCAGUGGUGAAAGACGGUCGCUCAACGAUUGCAGUGCCAUUGAUACUGGUAGACUUGAGUGGGAUUGAGGUAGCUGGAAUGGAUAGUGUAGCGGUGAAAUGCAUAGAUAUUAUCCAGAACACCAAUUGCGUAGGCAAGUUACUAAGUCUCAACUGACGCUGAGGCACGAAAGUGUGGGUAUCAAACAGGAUUAGAUACCCUGGUAGUCCACACUGUAAACGAUGAUAACUAACUGUUGGCUUUCGGGUCAGUGGUACAGAGAAAUCGUUAAGUUAUCCACCUGGGGAGUACGCCGGCAACGGUGAAACUCAAAGGAAUUGACGGCNGAGAGAGCGAGACGACGACGAGGGAGGAGG